RNAcentral lists this ribosomal RNA (729 nucleotides) under uncultured bacterium. RNAcentral describes it as "bacterial SSU rRNA". It matches the Rfam family "Bacterial small subunit ribosomal RNA", at positions 74 to 782 of the family's 1533-position model. The record is from RNAcentral.
UCCCCUUCGGGGGGCGAGUAGAGUGGCGCAUGGGCGAGUAACACGUAGGUAAUCUACCUUUGGAUUGGGAACAACCACCGGAAACGGUGGCUAAUACCGAAUAAUGCAGCGGCACCUAAUGGUGACAGUUGUUAAAGCGGGGGAUCGCAAGACCUCGCGUCUGAAGAGGAGCCUGCGGCAGAUUAGCUAGUUGGUAAGGUAACGGCUUACCAAGGCGAUGAUCUGUAGCCGGCCUGAGAGGGCGGUCGGCCACACUGACACUGACAUACGGGUCAGACUCCUACGGGAGGCAGCAGUCGGGAAUUUUGGGCAAUGGGCGCAAGCCUGACCCUGCAACGCCGCGUGAAGGAUGAAAUCCCUCGGGAUGUAAACUUCGCAAGAACGGGAAGAAUAAGUAAGAGCUAACAUCUCUUACGAUGACGGUACUGUUUGUAAGCUCCGGCUAACUCCGUGCCAGCAGCCGCGGUAAUACGGGGGGAGCAAGCGUUGUUCGGAUUUACUGGGCGUAAAGGGCGCGUAGGCGGCCACCGCAAGUCGACUGUGAAAUCUCCGGGCUUAACCCGGAAAGGUCAGCCGAUACUGCGGGGCUAGAGUGCAGAAGGGGCAACUGGAAUUCUCGGUGUAGCGGUGAAAUGCGUAGAUAUCGAGAGGAACACCUGCGGCGAAGGCGGGUUGCUGGGCUGACACUGACGCUGAUGCGCGAAAGCUAGGGGAGCGAACGGGAUUAGA